AUAUUUUCAAUAUCUUAAUCAUCGUAUAACUAUAAUUUUUAUCUCAACUCCGAAACACCAAAAUCGACAAAUCAAUGAUGGAUAAAAGAUUAUGUAACCGGUAAUGAGCGAUGGACGAACACAUUUUUGUAGUUAUCGAUAAGUGUCGAUACGAAGGGUAUAUAUUUUUUUUAUUAUUAUUUUCAAUAAUAUCUAGGGUAGAGAAUCAAACGAGAAAUCAUGUGGUCGACACGGUGGAUGCCAACCGAAAAUACAAGCAGAUAAUAAUAUUAUGUUUCACCAUGUCAUAUUCACAGAUUCAACUUACCCGUGCAGCUGUAUUGAUACGGAGCCCCGACGCCUUUAUCUUAAAACUGUUCGACAAACGUUUUAUCUUUUAUAUUCUUUAUCGGACCGAACUGUAAAACUCCAGCCAAGUCGACGAUCCAACACUUGACAGGUACGUGCGUAUGUGCGAGAGAUAAUUGUCUUGCUCCGAACUUGUCACAAUCCAUCAGCUGGCUCCUCCUACGCCGGUGCCCCCUUCUCACUUGUUCUACAGCUGAACAUUUCUGUGACAACAAAUGAAAGAUCCUCUACGCACUACCAGUGAUGCUACUAGACCAAUCGCACAGUUUUCAUUACUUUCGUUGCCGGUGGAAAUAUUUUGUUUAUUAGCUUUAUACAUCUGUUGUAUUGUAUUGAGUACUGGACUAGUUCUUUUAUUCAGCUCUAUCGAUACAAUUUGUAAAAAGAUUUCAAGUUUACCAGUUGGUGAAAUUGGCUUUCUGUAAAAUCAAGAAAAGUGUUCAGCAUUUAAAGUGGUGUUGAACAAAAACUUCCUUUUGAAGAUAUCGUCACUAGUACUGUCUGGUUCUUGCCACUCCUACAUUAAAACUAUUAACCGGUUCAAACCGGUUCACGAAUAAAAUACAUUAAGUAUUUAUUUAAAAAAAUUAUAUAAGUAAUGGUGGAAUCGAUCCAUCGUCCAUUAAGAGUUAAGUACUACAAUCAGCAAUCUUAAAUUGAGCAACUACAAUGAAAUAAAAACCAGAAAUUGAAACUCUAUUAAACGUAACAGUUUUAUUUUUUUUUAUUUUUCAUAAAAAAAUGUGUUUAAGCUCCUUAAAAUGUUUCAAUUAUGGCCUAGAGGGUCAUUUUUGUACUUAAUUCUAUUAACGCUAAUUUGAUUUAAGUCUUUGGCGGUUCAAAUCAUUUUUGCCAAAAUUAUACUUUGGACCCUUUUAGAAAAUUAUUUACAAUGUAUUACCCAAAAUGAUUGAAGAUACCAGAACGCCAAAGUUUAAAAAUAUUAAUUUAGGUAAUUCGAGUCAAAUAUUCAGCACUAAAGAAAAUGUAUAAAAAACAUUAUUAUAUUCGUUUAUAUAAAAUGGAUGUUUGAAAUUUUAAUGAAUGAAAUUUGACACUUUAGUAGUGGCAAGUACCAGAGAAAACAGACUCCAUUUUUUUGGAUCAUAAUAAUAGUAUGGUAAUUUUUGCCCAUAAUUUUCAGGUACAAAUAGUAUAAUGUAAAAUUCACCCACUAAAAAAAAGAAACAAAAUGAGAUAAUUUGCUACUUCAUUUGGUAGUAAUCAAUAGCUUGUUAUAAAUCUUAUUUACAAGUGCUGUGCAAAGCAAAAUAUAAAACGUUAUAUUAUAUUAAGUAUUAACGUAUACUGUAUAUUAUUCCAUUGGUAUUUACAAAAAAGUUUACUAAAGUAUAAAUAGUACUUUAGUAUUUUACAGAUUUAAAAAAAACCCCAUUGAAAAGAAUAUUAAAUUUAACUCUCAACUCGAAAGUAAUCGGUUUUUGAAAAGCUAUAUCUGCUAAUUACUUAAAGUUUGACCUGUAAUUGAAAUAAACAGAACAAAUGGUUCUCGUGUUACUACUUCAAAAUGUAUAUGCUGGGCAACAUUUACGUAUGUUAACAUCUUUACUAUAUAAAAAACACAAUUUACAAUUUUACCCUUUUGUUUGGCGUAGUUUACAUUACACCCCUUAGAAGACUUAGAUUUAUGGUAAUAAAAAUAAUUUUGCGACUGCGAUUUUAACUUGUGUUUUAUAGUUUGUUUUUUUUUUUGAGUAAGUGCAACCGAAAAAAAAGACAGCAGUAACGGUUACUCAAUUCAGUCUAUAUAGCAGUUUCUUUAGACCGGCUACAAUUUUAAAGAAGACAAAUAAGAUUAGCAAAGGAUUUGCAACAGCAGCAGUCAAAAAUCAUUUAAAUAACACACAACAAAAUAGGGUUAUUGUGAUUUUUUGGUAAAACGUUCAAUAUAUUCAUAUUUUAGCUUAAUACUUAA
This is a long non-coding RNA of Adelges cooleyi (spruce gall adelgid), 2284 nucleotides long. RefSeq lists it as uncharacterized. The transcript is spliced from 2 exons. The record is from RefSeq and is a predicted model, not a curated record. Lineage: Eukaryota; Metazoa; Arthropoda; Insecta; Hemiptera; Adelgidae.